UCGGGAAUUUUGGGCAAUGGGCGAAAGCCUGACCCAGCAACGCCGCGUGAAGGAUGAAGUAUUUCGGUAUGUAAACUUCGAAAGAAUAGGAAGAAUAAAUGACGGUACUAUUUAUAAGGUCCGGCUAACUACGUGCCAGCAGCCGCGGUAAUACGUAGGGACCAAGCGUUGUUCGGAUUUACUGGGCGUAAAGGGCGCGUAGGCGGCAAUUCAAGUCAUCUGUGAAAUCUCCGGGCUUAACUCGGAACGGUCAGAUGAUACUGCUUUGCUAGAGUGCAGAAGGGGCAAUCGGAAUUCUUGGUGUAGCGGUGAAAUGCGUAGAUAUCAAGAGGAACACCUGAGGUGAAGACGGGUUGCUGGGCCGACACUGACGCUGAGGCGCGAAAGCCAGGGGAGCAAACGGGAUUAGAUACCCAAGUAGUCCCUGAGCGGGCUGGCAAGGCGCAU
This 447-nucleotide ribosomal RNA is filed under the name uncultured bacterium. RNAcentral's name for it is "bacterial SSU rRNA". It matches the Rfam family "Bacterial small subunit ribosomal RNA", at positions 355 to 825 of the family's 1533-position model. The record is from RNAcentral.